AGCGGAGUAGAGGAGUUCGGUCGUCCUCGCCGGCCUCAUAAGCCGGAAACCGCGUGGUUCAAAUCCCGCCUCCGCUACCA
Molecule: transfer RNA, 80 nt
Filed under: Verrucosispora sp. WMMC514
Lineage: Bacteria; Bacillati; Actinomycetota; Actinomycetes; Micromonosporales; Micromonosporaceae
Description: tRNA-Met
Rfam family: tRNA
About the family: Transfer RNA (tRNA) molecules are approximately 80 nucleotides in length. Their secondary structure includes four short double-helical elements and three loops (D, anti-codon, and T loops).
Source: RNAcentral